UACCUAUAAUAUCGGCGGCAUCAGGGU
This 27-nucleotide non-coding RNA is filed under the name Mus musculus (house mouse). Lineage: Eukaryota; Metazoa; Chordata; Mammalia; Rodentia; Muridae. The record is from RNAcentral.